RNAcentral lists this unclassified non-coding RNA (247 nucleotides) under uncultured fungus. RNAcentral's name for it is "partial contains 5.8S ribosomal RNA, internal transcribed spacer 2, and large subunit ribosomal RNA". The record is from RNAcentral. Lineage: Eukaryota; Fungi.
AACGCACAUUGCGCCCUUUGGUAUUCCUUAGGGCAUGCCUGUUCGAGCGUCAUUUCAAACUUCAAGCCUCGCUUGGUGUUGGGCGUUUGUCCCCCCCCCGGGGGACUCGCCUCAAAUGCAUUGGCAGCCGGUACGUUGGCUUCGAGCGCAGCAGAAACGCGCGCGGCGUCUGACGGUGCCUGGCUCUCCAGGAAGCCUCACACCCAAGUUUGACCUCGGAUCAGGUAGGGAUACCCGCUGAACUUAA